This 544-nucleotide ribosomal RNA is filed under the name uncultured bacterium. Its description in RNAcentral is "partial 16S ribosomal RNA". It matches the Rfam family "Bacterial small subunit ribosomal RNA", at positions 355 to 891 of the family's 1533-position model. The record is from RNAcentral.
UAGGGAAUCUUCCACAAUGGACGCAAGUCUGAUGGAGCAACGCCGCGUGAGUGAAGAAGGUUUUCGGACCGUAAAGCUCUGUUGUUGGUGAAGAAGGAUAGAGGUAGUAACUGGCCUUUAUUUGACGGUAAUCAACCAGAAAGUCACGGCUAACUACGUGCCAGCAGCCGCGGUAAUCGUAGGUGGCAAAGCGUUGUCCGGAUUUAUUGGGCGUAAAGCGAGCGCAGGCGGAAGAAUAAGUCUGAUGUGAAAGCCCUCGGCUUAACCGAGGAAUUGCAUCGGAAACUGUUUUCUUGAGUGCAGAAGAGGAGAGUAGAACUCCAUGUGUAGCGGUGGAAUGCGUAGAUAUAUGGAAGAAUACCAGUGGCGAAGGCGGCUCUCUGGUCUGCAACUGACGCUGAGGCUCGAAAGCAUGGGUAGCGAACAGGAUUAGAUACCCUGGUAGUCCAUGCCGUAAACGAUGAGUGCUAAGUGUUGGGAGGCUUCCGCCUCUCAGUGCUGCAGCUAACGCAUUAAGCACUCCGCCUGGGGAGUACGACCGCAG